Molecule: non-coding RNA, 5753 nt
Organism: Sus scrofa (pig)
Lineage: Eukaryota; Metazoa; Chordata; Mammalia; Artiodactyla; Suidae
Source: RefSeq, a predicted model, not a curated record
UGAUACCUUCCACCGCCCACUACCUCCAGCAUUAGCGUUCUAGACAAAUUAACCAGUAACUCUCCUUGGAUUACUACCAUAGACUUACAAUCAAUGUCCUUUUCCUUCUACUCUGUUUUUUGUUUGUUUGUUGCCAACCUGGGGCAUAUGGAGUGCCUGGGAUCAGCUCUUUUCUCCUCUUGAUUUGUAUUCUCUAUGUUCAACAAAUCAACCGGAGUUACUCUACCAAUAGAUAUCAGAUGGUAUUAAUUCUCAGUUCUACUGCAUUGCUUUCCAUGUCUUUGAGGGCAAAAGGCAUUCCUAGCUUGGUCAUAUUUCUGCCCCCACUGCCUCCCUGACAUCUUUUACAUCAUACCUCCUCCCUCUGUCUGCUCCAGACACGCUGGCGCCCUCGUUACUUUGCAAUGUGGGGCAUUGUUAGAGUCAGGGUAUUGCUUUUGCUCUUGUUCCAUCUCUAGAUCUUAUUUCCCUGGAUAUUUUGAUGACCUACUCCCAUAUUUCCUUCAAGUUCUCUGCUUGAUCAGAGAAUCCUUCCCUCACUCUCCUGUGUUCCAUUUAUCAGUAAUUGCCUCGGAAUUUCAAACCCUCAUUUACUGCUUGGUCUAUGAAAAUGGAUCCAGGCCCCUUUAGUAUCUGUUAAUCUUUGUUAAUAAAGAGCACUGGAGAGGAAAGGAAUUUUGCUUCUGAGUUCUGCUGUGCCCCUAGCUGCCUCCUGACCCUGGUUUGCUCCCUGCGGAAGUACGUGGCUCCCACAGUGCAUAUAGCAUCUUCACUACACCAGCUUGGGGACCACCGACUCUCGGCAGUCGGCACCUCCCCAGAGAGAGACUUUGUGGUAAAUACCUCAGGCUGAAGUUUUUCCCAGCAUUUUAAAGGGUGGAUUUCCUGGACAUUGCACUGGAGUGACACAAAGGGGACGUGUUUGUUAUUCACUGAGCCACAGCCAUACCCUCUCCAACAGGGACUGGAUUGCAGUCCUGGCCCAGACUCAGCUUUGUCACUCAGUAAAUUUGUGAAACUCUUCAAUGCGGAAGGAUGGAGCAAAGCGCUAUUUGUAUAUCGAUGAAACAUUUACAUGGUUAAUAUUCACCUGGACCAUUGAUUUUCGCUUUUUGCUAACUCCUAUGUGGUAGCAGUGGGAGAAGGUUACUACACGAUACUGAGGACUGUUCCCUGUGCUGUAUGUAGGUCCUUGUUGCUUACCCAGCAUUUCUGAGUUGAGGCAUUAUUUGCUGUAUCACGGGAGACAUAAUACAGCAAAAUCUCAGUCCUCGUGGUUCCAAAGCUCUCUCUUCUUGGGAGGGGCAGGCAGGCCCCAAGGUAAUUGUAUACGGUGGGAAGGAGUAUGGUGGAGAUUGUGCUUUACACAUGAGCUGCCUGUCAAUCACGCUACCAUGUUUUCUAUGGGUCCCUGAAAUUAGAGGAGAUGCUGAAUUUAAGAGACCACUGAUCACUUAUUGACGUAAGUCACAUUAGAUUUAGAGCUCUCACUUGCAACAUAGAACCAAUAGUUGUUUGUUUUUCCUUUGCACCUCCAUCCACUCUACCUUGAAGUCAACACUCUCCAACUAGUUGCUGACUCAUCUGUGACAGCCUCAUGUUGCCUUCUCAUCUAUAAUUACAGCUACUUUCUAAUCAAAACAUAAGCGCUCUUCCCUCUGACUUUUUAUUGUCUUUUUAAUGAAUAAAUUUCAUGUUUCAAUCUACUAUUGAUCCAUGAUACAUAAAGAACAAUUAAAAGAAUGAACAAUGUUUAGCCAGAAGGAGAAUGUUUAGUAUAUGGAAGAGAUCAGGCAUAUUCUGUAUGAUUUUGAGAACUAGAGCUAAAAAAUACUGAAAUGCCAGGAUGAGAGGAUUUGGUUAAUAACUUGGCAAGUAUUGAAUUCUAGUCACUGUGCUUUAUUAUUUUGAAAAUAAGAUAUUUAUUAAAGAAAUAUAUAAUCCAUGUAUCAUAAAUGCAAUAUUGCUGCAUGAACUGCCUUUUAAAAUUAGUGAACAAACCUACACAGCUUAAAUGUAUUAAGGAGAGAAUUAAUCUUUUUUUCCAAUUGAAGCAAAGGUGAUUAAAAGAUAAAUUUAUAAAGCAAACGUGUUGUUUAUUGAAGAAAGUAUAUAAAAUAAAGUUAUAUUUUAUAGAAUACUAAAGUAUGCUAGGCCUAUUAGCUGAAAACAGUCUCUUUCAGAAAACAAUAAUUUUCUGUUUGAAUGCUUUUAAAUAGGUUUACACAAAAUAUACCAAGGUUUAGUUAAUAUUUAAAACAUGUUCCAAUUUCCAUGUAUAUUUUACUUAAUUAUCAAUAUGUACUUCAAAGUUCUGAUUUUUUUAAGAGCAAGUGAAUAAUAAAGUUUAAUUUUAAGCCUCAGCCUUUCAAACAUUUUUCUACUUCAUUUCUCUUAUAAGACUUCAUCUAGAUAAUUUUCAUUACUUCUCAGUUGAUACAAACAAAUUUUGCUUAUCAGCUUCCUGAGUACUUUCUUCCAAAUUUCCAUAGCUUAAGUUAGAAAUUUCUCAGUUUUCACUAUCAAUCAAGCACUCUCAUAAACCCAAUCCUCAUCAUAAUUACACUUUGAAUUAUAUCUUGAACCCCUCUUUCCUUCAUCUCCAACAUCAUUCUGAACUACAGAGUAUCUCAACCUGCUAUUUCUUUCCACGGGCACUGUAUCAUUUUCACGUUUAUAAAAGCAACUGUUUUCUAAUUCAUUUUCACCUUUAGCCUGUCCCUCAACAAAUCCAAUAUGCUCACUGCAUCCUAUCAUGAACCCGCUUAAGACCACUGUCCCUCAUGUAAAGAUCCACAUCAAAGUACUUCAUCAUCGGUCAAUGCUCUCCAAAUCAAAUCCGCUUCCUAACUAAUCUCUCACUGGUCCUUAAAAUAAAGCCACCUUUCCACCUUUUUCAAUGUUCUCUAUAAAAACAGCGUAUCUGAAUCUAAGCCUUUCUUGAACGUCUGGAGCAUCUCACGUCGUGACUCCAUCAAAUACAACCUCCAAGUUCUUAUUUGCAUAUUACCAUAAUUAUUCCCAAUUUUAUAAUUUUAAGCUAUACUACUCUACCUUUAUCCCCUCAGAUUUCACUUUUCAUGUGUAUCAAGUAUGUUCCAUUGAUUGUAUAUUACUUUGCAUUUUUCAAUGGCUAAUUGAAGCCUCACCUACCCUAUCAGGUCCAAUAAAUGGAUUGUAUUCAAUUUACUUUAUCUUUACUGUUACAGAAUAUAAUGUAUUUGGUACCUGAUCAACAAAUAAUUACUUGCUGAAUUAAUUAAAUGAUACCAAGAUAAUUCAUCCUACCCAUAUGUAAUAUUACAUGGUGCUCACCCUUUUUUCAUUUCUUUAAACCACCUUAUUGUGAUAGAAUUUUCACCAAAAAAGCUGUACAUCGUUAAUGUCUAAACUUGAUGAGUUUAGAGCUAAGUCUGGGAAACCAUCACCAUGGCUAUGCCAUAAACAUAUCCAUCACCUACAAGAACUUCUGCCUAUGGACCCAGGCCAGCCUGCCAGCCUGUGGUCCCCCCCAACCAGCCCUCUCAGAAUCUCUGGUGAGGCUGACUGGUGAAGGGCUUACUCUCUUUCACCUACAUAUUUUCCCAUAAGAAAACUUAUAUUGAAGGUGAUAUGAGAUAAUUAUUGAGCUAAUUUUAUGACAUAAUCUAAUUUGAUAAACAUACAGUUGCCCCCUUGAACAACUCUGCUUUAAACUGUAUGAAUCCACUUAAAUUAGGAUUUUUUUCCAAUAGUAAAUAUUUCAUUGCUACAUGAUUUGUGGUUGGUUAAAUACUUAGAUGUGGAUGUGUCAGUCUCACUAACUCCUGCCUUGUUCAAAGGUCAACUGUAUAUUUAAAACGUUUUAAGUCAUAUUUUCAUCAAGCUUUUUUUAAACUCUUAUCUUUGUUGCCAUUCCAACCAUACCAUCUUUAAAUCAUUUUUGUCUCGUGUAUUUUGCAGCCUCACUCCCAUCACUGACUUGCCAAGACCCAUAAUAAUGGCACCCUGGUGGGACUGUUGUUGACUGGUUGUUAACUCAGAGACUUGUUCAUUGGUGUGACUCUAUUGCUGUGGCUCUGGCGUAGGCUGGCAGCUACAGCCUGGGAUGUCCAUAUGCCACAGGAGUGGCCCUAGAAAAGGCAAAAAAAAAAAAAAAAGUGUUCAUUUUGCUCAGAGUGUUCUGGUCUGGGCUGGGUUAACCUCUUGUACUCAUGUGUCUACGGGCAGAUCCAGGUCUUUAAGGUGGUUCCACUGAUCUGGAUGCACUGACCCACAUAUCUGGUGGUGGGCUCUCAUCUUGCGGAUGCUGAAUGGCCUCAGAUGGGACAACUAAAGUGACUUACCUCUCCUCCAUGUGUUCCAUUCUCCCGUGAGCCAGUCUGUAGCCAGACUGCAAGUGCUAAGGAAUUGUAGCUGUUAACGCAAUUAAUCUGUCACAUCACAGGACCUGAAAGGCCAAAGCUUUAUUGCUAGGACAGUUGAGUGAUCUGCUUCUGUGUCCUGGGUACAGUUUAGGUCAUCCGAAUGAGACCACCUUCUCUGCUUCGCAUGUGGACAAAGCAGACUCCAACUGGCGUGUUCCACUGUGUCAUCACCAGUGAGAUUUCAGAAGUUCUUAUGAACUUAGGAAAAGACUGAUUGUUCUACAUCCAUGGAAACAUGCAGCUCUCAUGCAAUUGACUUAGAAAUGACAACUUGCCUCAGUGAAUAUACUUGACAAAGUCAGUCCCUCACUUCCUAAUGGCAGCCCAUAAGCAAUAGAGUCACACCAAUGAACAAGUCUCUGAGUUAACGACCAGUCAACAACAACAGUCCCAUCAGAGAAGAGGCUCGUUCACACCUUGAAAAGUCAACCAAUCUCUGAGCUCCCUGUGUCCUAAAAUUCCUAUUUAAAAAUGCUGUCUGUUCUACUUAGAACAGCACAGCUCUUCCUUAGCAGAGCAAGCCAUGCAUUCAGCAUUGGCAUUUUAGAUGCUGAGUGGGAUCUUGGUGUGGGUGAGAACCUGCUGUGCAGUAAGUACCACAAUGCCUCUGGUUGCAGCAGCAUCCGUCUCCUGCUACAUCUGGAUGGCAACUAUGACUUUGAAGACAGCAUUCUACUAAAUAAUAUUUGUUAAAAAUUUACAAUAUAAUCCAUGAUUUAAUGACAUUAAAUAGCUAAGUAUUAGAUCCAUUAAAAUAAAUUUAACAUAUUUUAUCCAAAAUUGUUUCCUAUAUAAUUAACUUUAUGCUCAAAUAAGAAGUGUAUUUUCUGCAAACUUAUGUUUUCCCAUUUCAUCACAGGUAACCAAAUUCUUUAUAGGGGUCCCGCACUCUAUAUCUAUUAAAAAUAAAGCAAAUGCUCUCUUUGACUUCAGUUAUGCUUUAUCUUAUCUACCGCUAGAACCGUAUCUAAAAUGCCAGCAUGAACUUUAAAAUGCUUUAUCCUGAAUUAGAAACGCAGUGUAUCCUGACUUGAGUUGGUGCAGUUUCUGAAAGGUAAUCUGCGGGGGUCAUUGUCUCUUUCAUACUUUCACUGGGAAAUUAGAGAGUGUUGGCUGUUAGAGUACUUUUUAUUGUCAUUUCCUUUGAAAAAUUAUUAUUCAUAUGGACUUGAUAGGUCAAAUGUUAUCUUUAAUUUUUUAUUAGAUAGCUGCUAUUUAUCUUUGCUUUUUCCUUUUCUAUUUUUUAAUCUAACCUUCAAUCAAUUUUCCUAGUCAGUCUUUUCUUAAACUCUAAUGAUUUAUUUUUUUUUAUUUUUUAAUUUUUUUUGCUAUUUUUUGGGCCGCUAC